GAUGAACGCUGACAGAAUGCUUAACACAUGCAAGUCUACUUGAACUUCGGUUUGGGUGGCGGACGGGUGAGUAACGCGUAAAGAACUUGCCUCACAGUUAGGGACAACAUUUGGAAACGAAUGCUAAUACCUGAUAUUAUGAUUUUAGGGCAUCCUAAGAUUAUGAAAGUUAUAUACGCUGUGAGAGAGCUUUGCGUCCCAUUAGCUAGUUGGAGAGGUAACGGCUCACCAAGGCGAUGAUGGGUAGCCGGCCUGAGAGGGUGAACGGCCACAAGGGGACUGAGACACGGCCCUUACUCCUACGGGAGGCAGCAGUGGGGAAUAUUGGACAAUGGACCAAAAGUCUGAUCCAGCAAUUCUGUGUGCACGAUGACGUUUUUCGGAAUGUAAAGUGCUUUCAGUUGGGAAGAAAAAAAUGACGGUACCAACAGAAGAAGUGACGGCU
This 445-nucleotide ribosomal RNA is filed under the name uncultured bacterium. RNAcentral describes it as "bacterial SSU rRNA". It matches the Rfam family "Bacterial small subunit ribosomal RNA", at positions 28 to 498 of the family's 1533-position model. The record is from RNAcentral.